RNAcentral lists this unclassified non-coding RNA (744 nucleotides) under Hevea brasiliensis (rubber tree). The record is from RNAcentral. Lineage: Eukaryota; Viridiplantae; Streptophyta; Magnoliopsida; Malpighiales; Euphorbiaceae.
UGAUAGUUAGUGAUCGGAGAAGAUAGCCUUUAAGUGCCAUAUUUAGGGUACUAACUGUAAUUUAAAUGCACAAUUCAAUCAGAUAUUUAUGAGUUUGAAGUUGUUCUGAUAUUUCUUGAAAAGAUUUGUGUGGUGGACAUUGAGGGAAUUUAUUCCUUUAUCUUUUACUUAGAUGAAAUGUACCUCCCAUCUUGCUGGGUGUAAAAAGCAAGAAGUACGGUGGUUUCUGAUAGUGAUAUGUGUACGAAUUUCUCCAAAAUUAACAUGUGAGAAAUGGCCUUGCUUCUAACUCCAAAAUUAAUAUGACUUUAAAUUUGCUUUUUUAGAGUCUGCGUCCUUUGCUGAUGUUAGGUCCAGAUUUCAAAUAAAUCCGUGUUCAUGGCGGAUUAAAGAUUGUUAACAUUAAAUUUAGAUUUAAUGAUAACAAUUUAUACAUUUAAUUUGAUUGCCAACUCCUAUUAAUUUGAAAUUAAGGCUUUGUUGUUUUUGUAUGUGAUAUGCAAACUUGUCGAGAUUUGUUUGUUGGCUUCCUAUUCUUCAAUUUGAAUUAUUGAGUUCAUUAACUUACUUUCCAAUCUAAGGUUAUUGAGGACUUAUUUAAUAAAAAAUGAAAAAAUAGAAAAUAAGAAAUUUGUUAAGGCAAUUCAAAAUACAUUUUAAAAAAUUGCACUAUUUUUCAUAUGUAAUUAGCUCCAAAACUUAAAUUGAAUUUUUGCAAUUAUGAUGCAGGAGCUGCAAGAUAGG